Molecule: non-coding RNA, 25 nt
Filed under: Rattus norvegicus (Norway rat)
Lineage: Eukaryota; Metazoa; Chordata; Mammalia; Rodentia; Muridae
Source: RNAcentral
UACCUUCACAGAAGCAGGCCCGAUC